Bubalus bubalis (water buffalo) is the source of this 365-nucleotide long non-coding RNA. RefSeq lists it as uncharacterized. The transcript has 2 exons. The record is from RefSeq and is a predicted model, not a curated record. NCBI's taxonomy places the organism in Eukaryota, Metazoa, Chordata, Mammalia, Artiodactyla, Bovidae.
GAGGAAAAAUAGUGAGAAAUUGUAAAACAUUAUCUAUUUAGAAGUUUUGAGAAAUGUGGAAAAUUUCCAAAUUAUAAGAGAAGAUUUCAACACUAAUUCAGCAGGAGAAAGAAAUUACAAUCUACCUUUUUUUGGCAUCAUUAUGAAACCGGCAUAAUUUUGAGCAUUUAAUAUGAAGAAUGAAAAACCUGUUUUGCACCCUCUUCCUGACUCCAGACCCACUACUUCCAGACCCAGCUUCCCCUCCAGCACAUAUAUAGUAUCUAUCCAUCAUAGGAUUGGUUCUCAAAUCUAUCUGAUUAUACCCUUGAAUUUUCUUGCCCUGGUAUGCCUUGAAGAAUCUGAAUAAACUGUUUCCAUUACUA